AGAGUUUGAUCCUGGCUCAGGAUUAACGCUGGCGGCGUGCCUUAUGCAUGCAAGUCGAACGGGCUCCGCAAGGAGCUAGUGGCGAACGGGUGCGUAACACGUAAGUAACCUACCCUGAAGUAUAGGAUAACCCACCGAAAGGUGGACUAAUACUGUAUGUGAUCCGGCCUCACAAGAGGUCGUAUUAAAGCCGCAAGGCGCUACAGGAUGGGCUUGCGUCCGAUUAGCUAGUUGGUGAGGUAACGGCCCACCAAGGCGACGAUCGGUAGCUGGUUUGAGAGGACGACCAGCCACACGGGGACUGAGACACGGCCCCGACUCCUACGGGAGGCAGCAGCAAGGAAUAUUGCGCAAUGGGCGAAAGCCUGACGCAGCGACGCCGCGUGAGGGAAGAAGGUCUUCGGAUUGUAAACCUCUUUUCUUAGGGAAGAAUAAUGACGGUACCUGAGGAAUAAGUCACGGCUAACUACGUGCCAGCAGCCGCGGUAAUACGUAGGUGGCUAGCGUUAUCCGGAUUUACUGGGCGUAAAGAGGGUGCAGGUGGUUUUUCAAGUCGGUUAUAAAAUCUCUCGGCUUAACUGAGAGGGACUGACCGAUACUGUUGGACUAGAGAGUAGCAGAGGGAGAUGGAAUUCCCGGUGUAGUGGUGAAAUGCGUAGAUAUCGGGAGGAACAUCAGUGGCGAAAGCGGUCUCCUAGGCUAUUUCUGACACUGAGGCCCUAAAGCGUGGGGAGCAAACAGGAUUAGAUACCCUGGUAGUCCACGCCCUAAACUAUGGAUACUAGGUAUGGGGGGUAUCGACCCCCUCCGUGCCGAAGUUAACACGUUAAGUAUCCCGCCUGGGGAGUACGGCCGCAAGGUUAAAACUCAAAGGAAUUGAUGG
Molecule: ribosomal RNA, 883 nt
Filed under: uncultured bacterium
Lineage: Bacteria
Description: bacterial SSU rRNA
Rfam family: Bacterial small subunit ribosomal RNA
Source: RNAcentral